This 3113-nucleotide ribosomal RNA is filed under the name Gossypium hirsutum (cotton). RNAcentral describes it as "bacterial LSU rRNA". The stretch from base 1678 to 2918 matches the Rfam family "Bacterial large subunit ribosomal RNA". Lineage: Eukaryota; Viridiplantae; Streptophyta; Magnoliopsida; Malvales; Malvaceae. The record is from RNAcentral.
CUUGAACUUAACUUACCCUUCUUACCGAAUCUCAAAACCUUCUUCUAUGAGGAAACUUUUAAGAACACCAUAUCAUCAACUUGAAACUUUAUAUCUCGACGUUUCAAAUCCACAUAAGAUUUCUAACCUGUUGCUGCUUUCAACCUUUCACAUAUUAACUUUACUUUCUUUUCGGUCUCAUGAACUAGAUCUGGUCCAACAACACACUUUUCAUCCAACUCUAUCUAAAACAAAGGAGUCCUACACUUUCUACCACACAACGCCUCAAAUGAUGUCAUGCGAAUACUCGCUUGGAAACUAUUAUUGUAAGCAAACUUUGCUAAGAGCAUAUAUCAUUCCCAACUACCACUGAACUCAAUCACACAGCUUCGUAACAUAUCUUCUAACACUUGAAUUACCCUCUCCGAUUGAUCAUUAGUUUGGGGAUGAUAAGCCGUAUUGAAAGUAAACUUCAAUCCCAAAGCCUCUUGCAAAAUCUUUCAAAACCUUAAAGUAAACCUCGGAUCCCUAUCAGAAAUAAUCAAAACUGGAACCCCAUGAAGACGAACAACCUUAGCAAUAUACAACUUCGCCAACUUCUGCAACGAAUAAUCGGUACGCAUUGCUAGGAAAAGCGCACUUUUCGAAAAUCAAUCAAUUAUAACCCAAACCAAAUUCUUCUUCGACAAUUAAUAUACUAUUAAUUUACUUAUUAAAAAACUUAUUUAAAAACUUUUAUUUUUUAAAUUUUAUUUACACAUAUAAAUUAAUCAUUUUAUAUCAUCGAGAAUUUGAUCAUUUUACUUUUAAUUUUAGGGAUUUAGUCCCUACAUUUUUUUGGUUUAAAGAUUUAGAUCCAAUUAAUAACUCUAUUAAAUUAUUUUGUUAACUAUGCUGAUGUAAUAUUUAGAAUAAAAUAACUAAUAGCACUGAGACACUUUUUUUGUUUUUUUACUUUUAGAUUCCAAAAGAAUAUUAAACCAUCUUUCAUUCUAUAAAUACAUACUAUGAUGAAUCACACUAUGAAUCUAUACAUUUUAGGAUUACAUUAUUGAAAUUUAAAAAGAUUUAUUUAUACAAUUUAUCUUUAUGCAUAAAAAAAUUGUGAAUUUCUAAAUACUCAAUUAUAGAUAGAAACAACCUAUUUAGAUAAUCUAAACUAUUAUAAUUGAAAUGUAUUUAAAAAGAAAGAAAUAAUUCAAAGGAUUUAUCUCUUAUAUUUUUUAUUUAAAUAUUCAAACAAUGACUAUUUAUUAUUAAAUAAUAUUAAUAUAACAUGUUCUAAAUUAGUUAAUUUUUUUAAAAAAUAUUUUGCAAUUAUAUUUUUUUUCGCUCCAUUCAUUAUUUUUUUCAGAAACUCAUUGAUGAUUUUAAAUAAAAAUUAAUGUUAUAAAAAUAUUACGAAAUUAAACUAUACAAUUAACCCAGACAUCACACGAGAAUACAACCUAAUUUAUAUUUAUAUGAAAAUAAAUUAAUCUUUUUACAUCUAUCAAACCUUAAAAAUCUCUCAAUCUUUUGUCUUUCAACAUUUAUCAUUUUUCUUAUUUUCUCUAACACACUCUAAAAUUGUACACAUAUUGAUCUAAUUUUCAAUAACUUCAAGUGGAUUUCUCUAAUUUGGUAACAACUCUUCUUUUCUUUUCAAAAUUUAUUGAUUAAUCGCUAAAAAAUAGGACAAUAGCUUUUCUUGUGAUAGAUUAAUAUUUUUAUGCAAUAAUCAAUUUUUAUUGAUUAAAUGAUUUUGAGAUAUUAAUUUUGUAUGAGGAAAUAUUUUUAGAAGUUGAUUAAUACUAAUCAUUGAAAAAAAUUAAGAUUGCCCAAAAUCGACACAGGUGGGUAGGUAAAGAAUACCAAGGGCGCGAGACAACUCUCUCUAAAGAACUCAGUAAAAUAACCCCAUAACUUCGGAAGAAGGGGUGCCUCCUCACAAAGGGGGUCGCAGUGACCAGGCAUGGGCGACUGUUUACCGAAAACACAGGUCUCUACAAAGUCGUAAGACCAUGUAUAAGGGCUGACGCCUGUCCAUUGUCGGAAGGUCAAGGAAAUUGUGACUUAAUGAUAGGAGAGCCGGUGACCGAAGCCCCGAGGAACGGCGGUCAUAACUAUAAUGGUUCUAAGAUAGUGAAAUUCCUUGUCGGGUAAGUUCUGGCCCGCACGAAAGGCAUAACGAUCUGGCCUGUCUCGGAAAGAGGCUCAGUGAAAUAUACAUGUUUCUGAAGAUGCAGACCACCCGCACCUGGACAGAAAGACACUAUGAAGUUCCCUAGGAUUGGCUUUGGGCUUUUCCUGCGUAGCUUAGGUGGAAGGCGAAGAAGGCCUCCUUCCAGGGGCCCGAGCCAUUAGUGAGAUACCACUCUAGAAGAGCUAGAAUUCAAACCUUCUGUUAGGACCUAUGGGUCAAGAGACAGUCUCAAGUAGACAGUUUCUAUGGGACGUAGGCCCCCAAAAGGUAACAGAGGCGUGCAAAGGUUUCCUCGGGCCAGACAAAGAUUGGCCCUCGAGUGCAAAGGCAGAAGGGAGCUUGACUGCAAGCCCCACCCAUCGAGCAGGGACGAAAGUCAACCUUAGUGAUCUGACGGUCCCGAGUGGAAGGGCUGUCGCUCAACGGAUAAAAGUUACUCUAGGGAUAACAGGGUGAUCUUCCCCAAAAGCUCACAUUGACAGGAAGGUUUAGCACCUCGACGUCGGCUCUUCGCCGCCUAAGUUGUGGUAUGUUCCAAGGGUUGGUUUGUUCGCCCAUUAAAGCAGUAUGUGAGCUGGGUUUAGAACAUCGUGAGACAGUUCGAUCCAUAUCCGGUGUGGGUGUUAGAGCAUUGAGAGGACCUUUCCCUAGUACGAGAGGAAUAUAAUCUUAAAUUUGCAUUCCAUGACACAAAAAAAAAACUAAUUUUUGUGUAAAUUGUCAUAACAAUUCUAUUUACUCAAUUAUUAUUUGGUAAAUGAAAAAAAUUAAAAUAUUCACUUUUUAUAGGAUUUUAUAAAUAUUAAAUUUAUAUUCUAAAAUUGUUUGGUAUAUUAGUAAAAAUUAAAUAUUGUAUAUCAUUGUAUUAUUUAAUUAUAGUAAAUAUUAAUUUUUGAAAAUUAUUUAUUUAAUAUUUUUAACAACAUUUACAAAAGAAAAUAAUUAAACG